UUUUCAAAUAUGAAUUUUAAUUUUUUCUGCUACCUCUUCUCAAAAGCCUUUAUCUUCCUUUCAUUCAAUCCGGAUGCCUUGCCCGAAAAUUCUUCAGUGCUUGAUGAACACAUUCUGGAAUUCCUCCUACUAGGAUCUCCCCCACCUCAUUUCGUACAAUCAGGCCCUUAGUCGAUCUAGAAGAUUGAUGGUCAAAGGCUACGUCAAAAUGAACUGUGACCCUUUCUCUUUGAUCAUCCUGUUGUAUAUUUCCAUCAGACUGAAGGAUUAAAUGUAACGCACCACGCCUGAAACCAUCGCCGGAGUCGAGCUUGAGAGGUUACCAAACAUAAUUUAUCAAAUUAAGAACUUCAAAUCAUUUGUUUCUACAUUCACAGUUUUUUAGUUACCCGCAUCAUAGUUACAAGAAAAAUCAUAUCUCGAGUUACGAAACUCGAAAUCAAGAUCUGUAAAUUUUCCCUAAAUCUAUACUCAUAUAUAUAUUUAAUAAUUUUUUUAUAGAA
Molecule: long non-coding RNA, 503 nt
Organism: Gossypium arboreum
Lineage: Eukaryota; Viridiplantae; Streptophyta; Magnoliopsida; Malvales; Malvaceae
Exons: 3
Source: RefSeq, a predicted model, not a curated record